RNAcentral lists this ribosomal RNA (372 nucleotides) under uncultured bacterium. RNAcentral's name for it is "bacterial SSU rRNA". It matches the Rfam family "Bacterial small subunit ribosomal RNA", at positions 524 to 898 of the family's 1533-position model. The record is from RNAcentral.
UACGGAGGAUGCGAGCGUUAUCCGGAUUUAUUGGGUUUAAAGGGUGCGUAGGCGGAUUGAUAAGUCAGCGGUGAAAACCUUCAGCUUAACUGGAGAAUUGCCGUUGAUACUGUUAGUCUUGAGGAUGGUCAAGGUAGGCGGAAUGUGUAAUGUAGCGGUGAAAUGCUUAGAUAUUACACAGAACACCGAUUGCGAAGGCAGCUUACUGGGCCAUAACUGACGCUGAGGCACGAAAGCGUGGGGAGCGAACAGGAUUAGAUACCCUGGUAGUCCACGCCGUAAACGAUGAUCACUCGCUGUUAGCGAUACACUGUUAGCGGCUAAGCAAAAGCAUUAAGUGAUCCACCUGGGGAGUACGGCCGCAAGGCUGAA